UACGUAGGGUGCGAGCGUUGUCCGGAAUUAUUGGGCGUAAAGGGCUCGUAGGCGGUUUGUCGCGUCGGGGAGUGAAAACCAGGUGCUUAACACCUGGCUUGCUUUCGAUACGGGCAGACUAGAGGUAUGCAGGGGGAGAACGGAAUUCCUGGUGUAGCGGUGAAAUGCGCAGAUAUCAGGAGGAACACUGGUGGCGAAGGCGGUUCUCUGGGCAUGACCUGACGCUGAGGAGCGAAAGUGUGGGGAGCGAACAGG
RNAcentral lists this ribosomal RNA (255 nucleotides) under uncultured bacterium. Its description in RNAcentral is "partial 16S ribosomal RNA". It matches the Rfam family "Bacterial small subunit ribosomal RNA", at positions 524 to 776 of the family's 1533-position model. The record is from RNAcentral.